CAGGUGUCUUGAAGUGCGAAGUCUGAUACAGCCUGCCGCGUGAGUGAUGAAGGCCUUCGGGUUGUAAAGCUCUUUUACUUGGGAAGAAAAUGACUGUACGUGAAUCUAAUGGACCGGACAUCUUCACGCCAGCCCCCCCGGUACUGUAAUAUG
Molecule: ribosomal RNA, 153 nt
Filed under: uncultured bacterium
Lineage: Bacteria
Description: partial 16S ribosomal RNA
Source: RNAcentral